AAACUUUCAACGACGGAUCUCUUGGUUCUGGCAUCGAUGAAGAACGCAGCGAAAUGCGAUAAGUAAUGUGAAUUGCAGAAUUCAGUGAAUCAUCGAAUCUUUGAACGCACAUUGCGCCCUGUGGUAUUCCGCAGGGCAUGCCUGUUCGAGCGUCAUU
RNAcentral lists this ribosomal RNA (157 nucleotides) under uncultured fungus. Its description in RNAcentral is "5.8S ribosomal RNA". It matches the Rfam family "5.8S ribosomal RNA". Rfam says of the family: 5.8S ribosomal RNA (5.8S rRNA) is a component of the large subunit of the eukaryotic ribosome. It is transcribed by RNA polymerase I as part of the 45S precursor that also contains 18S and 28S rRNA. The record is from RNAcentral. Lineage: Eukaryota; Fungi.